AGCAGCCGCGGUAAUUCCAGCUCCAAUAGCGUAUAUUAAAGUUGUUGCAGUUAAAAAGCUCGUAGUUGAAUUUCGGGAUCAAUAUAUUGGUCGUGCCUUCGGUAUGCACUGGUAUUAUUGAUUUCUACCUUCUGACGAACUAUGAUGUCAUUAAUUUGGUGUCAUGGGGAAUCAGGACUGUUACUUUGAAAAAUUAGAGUGUUUAAAGCAGGCACACGCUUGAAUACAUUAGCAUGGAAUAAUGAAAUAGGACGUUUGACCCUAUUUUGUUGGUUUUUAGGAUCGACGUAAUGAUUAAUAGGGAUAGUUGGGGGCAUUAGUAUUCAAUUGUCAGAGGUGAAAUUCUUGGAUUUAUUGAAGACUAACUACUGCGAAAGCAUUUGCCAAGGAUGUUUUCAUUAAUCAAGAACGAAAGUUAGGGGAUCGAAGACGAUCAGAUACCGUCGUAGUCUUAACCAUAAACUAUGCCGACUAGGGAUCGGAUGAUGUUAAUUUUUAAUGACUCAUUC
Molecule: ribosomal RNA, 509 nt
Filed under: uncultured Glomeromycotina
Lineage: Eukaryota; Fungi; Glomeromycota
Description: SSU rRNA
Rfam family: Eukaryotic small subunit ribosomal RNA
Source: RNAcentral